CCUACGGGAGGCUGCAGUGAGGAAUAUUGGUCAAUGGACGAGAGUCUGAACCAGCCAAGUAGCGUGAAGGAUGACUGCCCUAUGGGUUGUAAACUUCUUUUAUAUGGGAAUAAAAUGUUCCACGUGUGGGAUUUUGUAUGUACCAUAUGAAUAAGGAUCGGCUAACUCCGCGCCAGCAGCCGCGGUAAUACGGAGGAUCCGAGCGUUAUCCGGAUUUAUUGGGUUUAAAGGGAGCGUAGGUGGAUUGUUAAGUCAGUUGUGAAAGUUUGCGGCUCAACCGUAAAAUUGCAGUUGAAACUGGCAGUCUAGAGUACAGUAGAGGUGGGCGGAAUUCGUGGUGUAGCGGUGAAAUGCUUAGAUAUCACGAAGAACUCCGAUUGCGAAGGCAGCUCACUGGACUGCAACUGACACUGAGGCUCGAAAGUGUGGGUAUCAAACAGGAUUAGAUACCCGAGUAGUC
RNAcentral lists this ribosomal RNA (460 nucleotides) under uncultured bacterium. Its description in RNAcentral is "partial 16S ribosomal RNA". It matches the Rfam family "Bacterial small subunit ribosomal RNA", at positions 338 to 795 of the family's 1533-position model. The record is from RNAcentral.